Non-coding RNA from Biomphalaria pfeifferi, 315 nucleotides. Lineage: Eukaryota; Metazoa; Mollusca; Gastropoda; Planorbidae. The record is from the annotation of a GenBank genome assembly.
CCAAGUAACUACAGGAACAAUAUGUGUGGUUAUGUGCAGUCUGAAUGCUUGAGACUUUCAACUUAUAUAAUUCUAAGAAUUGAAUUCAAAUUGUGGGUGUUGGGAUCAAAGAAAUACCUGAUAGACACAUUUCCACAAUACAAAUCUGUUUAGGAUGAAGUUGACUUAUACAUGACUAACUAGGACUUUGCAUUGAAAUAUUAUUGUUAAACAAAUAGAUCUACAUUAGACAUGCCUACAGAUUUGUUUUGAAACUAAAAUCAAUUAAGGUUAUUAGUAGAAAUGAAAAGGACAAAUUUCUUAACUGGGAUUUAG